CUACGGGGCGCAGCAGUGAGGAAUCUUCCGCAAUGGGCGCAAGCCUGACGGAGCGACACCGCGUGGAGGACGAAGGCCUUUUGGUUGUAAACUCCUUUUCUGGGGGAAUAAAUGAUGAAGGUACCCCAGGAAUAAGCACCGGCUAACUACGUGCCAGCAGCCGCGGUAAUACGUAGGGUGCAAGCGUUAUCCGGAAUUAUUGGGCGUAAAGCGUUCGCAGGCUGUUUGGCAAGUUUGGGGUUAAAUCCGGUCGCUCAACGAUCGAAUCGUCUCAAAAACUAUCAAACUAGAGAAUGGUAGAGGUAACUGGAAUUCUGUGUGUAGGGGUAAAAUCCGUUGAUACACAGAGGAACACCAAAAGCGAAGGCAGGUUACUGGGCCAUUUCUGACGCUGUUGAACGAAAGCGUGGGGAGCAAACAGGAUUAGAUACCCUAGUAGUC
RNAcentral lists this ribosomal RNA (441 nucleotides) under uncultured bacterium. RNAcentral describes it as "partial 16S ribosomal RNA". It matches the Rfam family "Bacterial small subunit ribosomal RNA", at positions 339 to 795 of the family's 1533-position model. The record is from RNAcentral.